This 3065-nucleotide long non-coding RNA is filed under the name Myripristis murdjan (pinecone soldierfish). RNAcentral's name for it is "lncRNA (ENSMMDG00005001598.1)". The record is from RNAcentral. Lineage: Eukaryota; Metazoa; Chordata; Actinopteri; Holocentriformes; Holocentridae.
GCAGAAAGCGUGUUAUUUCUUCCGGCACUUGUGCGUCUAAGAAAUUCAAGAGCUUUGAUGCUACUGAGGUCAAUCUGGAUGUAGAGUUUGUUAGCGAGGUGAGAAAGGAAGAGCUGGUUUUCCGUCCCCUUGGCGUAGAUGUCUGUCGAGUGUUGUGUAGUAAGUUAAAUGUUGACUGUGUAAAAGUUGGUAAUCCUGUGUCCACAGAGGUGGGGUUGUUGGGUGUUCCUUGUAGAAAAGAAAGGAUUGUGGCCGAUGGGAACUGCUUCUUCAGAGCCAUCUCUCAGGCUGUGAGUGGUUCAGAGAAGCACCAUCGUAGGAUUAGGCUAGCUGUGUGUAAAGAGUUAGAAAAGAAUGCAGAUAGAUAUCAGAGUCUUUUGAGGAGUGAGUACUCCUCUGUGUUAGAGUACAUUCAGCAGUCCAGGAUGACACGUGUCUGCAGUUGGGCCACAGAGGUGGAGAUCCAGGCGACAGCGGAUUGGUUAGGCGUUAGUGUGUUUACUUUCCAUCAGGGACGUUGGGUGAAGUAUAGCUGUAGUACUAAGCAUUUGUCAGCGGAGUGUGUAUACUUAGAGAAUGUCAUGGGACAGCAUUAUGAGAAUGUUGUUUGUGUGUGUAAGCCUGGACUGCAGAGUUGUUAUAGUUACUGUAAGGUUAGGGAAGUGUCAGGUUAUAGCAUUAGGUCUAGAAGGAUGGAUGUUGUGGUUGUAGCUAGUGACAACACAGCGGCUGGGCGUAGUAGUGAUGUAGUAGGUUCUGUGGUAGGUGUAAAGGAUUGUGAUGAGGUUGUGGAAGGUGCUAGUGAGGUAGUGUCAGGUAGAAAGUCUCUGUCCAAGUAUCUAAGGCGGAAACAAAGGACGCAAGACAAGUUGAAUAUGUUGCUUAGGGAGAAACGUCAGUUAAGGAUUAGAAAGAUAUAUCAAGAGAAUGUGGUGUUCAGGGAGAAGGCUAAGUUGUGGAGUGUAGGAAAUUAUUGUAAGAAUUUAGCCCACAGAGAGAGGGUUAAAGAGAUGGGUGUUUGUAAAUACAGAGAAAGCACUGAGCAUAGGGAGACAGUUAAGGCCAGGAGUUUGGGCAGAUAUAGGGACAGCAUGAAGUACAGGGAGAGAGUUAAGGCCAGGAGUUUGGGCAAAUACAGGGACAGCAUUGAGCACAGGGAGAGAGUUAAGGCCAGGAGUUUGGGCAAAUACAGGGACAGCAUUGAGCACAGGGAGAGAGUUAAGGCCAGGAGUUUGGGCGAAUACAGGGACAGCAUUGAGCACAGGGAGAGAGUUAAGGCCAGGAGUUUGGGCAAAUACAGGGACAGCAUUGAGCACAGGGAGAGAGUUAAGGCCAGGAGUUUGGGCAAAUACAGGGACAGCAUUGAGCACAGGGAGAGAGUUAAGGCCAGGAGUUUGGGCAAAUAUAGGGACAGUAUUGAGCACAGGGAGAGAGUUAUAGAAAGGAAUAAGAGUAGGAUUAAGAGCAAGUAUCAUGAUAGUGUAGAGUAUAAGCAGAAAGUUAUUUCUGGUGUGAGGUUAAGCAGGAAGCAGAAGGUGGAGAAGGCAGAAGAUUUUGCUUUUGUUAUGGAUCACUUUUUGGCCAAGGUCAGAGAUGGACCAGAUUUUGUGUGCUGUGUUUGUUAUAGGUUGUUGUUUAGAUUUCAGGUGGUCAGUUGUGAUAGGGAAGUUUAUAGGCGAAGUUCAGCAACAGCUGCUAUUGCAGAUAAGUGUAUAGGUGAGCGUUAUUUGCAUAGAUGUAAUGAGGAGUGUGUUGUGCCGUGUUCCUUGGUGUCAUCGCGUGGUCAGCUGUGGAUUUGUUUCACGUGCCACGGUAAGCUUAGUACAGGUGAGAUGCCGGCUGAAUGCUGGGUUAACAACUUGGAGCUUGAUCCCAUUCCAUGUGAACUGGGAUGUCUGAAUAGUUUAGAGCAGCAUUUGAUAGCUUUGCAUAUUCCGUUUAUGAAAAUGUUGGCACUGCCUAAAGGUGGGCAGAAUGGAGUACAUGGACCAGUGACAUGUGUUCCAGCCAACAUUGUUCAGACAACGAAUGUGUUGCCGCGUUCCAGUAUGGAGGGGUCUCUGCUUCAGGUUAAGCUGAAGCGGAAACUCACGUAUAAAGGGUAUUACGAGUACCAGUUUGUGGAUACGUUGCGUGUAAGACAGGCGCUAGAAUAUUUGAAGAGGACAAAUGUGCAUUAUAGGGGUAUUGAGUUUAAUGAGGACUGGGUAAACGAGUUUGUUAGGGAGGAAGAUAGGGAGACGGAAGAGGCCGAGUCAGGCAGUGAGGAUGAGGGUAGGUCACGGCAGGUUACGGUUCAGAGUGAAAUGUGUGAGCUAGCGGAAUCAGCAGACAUAGGACAGGAUGAACUGUUACAUGACAGACAACAGCACUGCAUGUUUCAGGACACUUGUCUUAUGCCUGUUGAUAUUGGUCAGGAAGCUUUAGAUCAGUAUUUUAAGGAUAUUUUGAACAUUGCGCCUGCAGAAGGGAAUAGUCCGGUAAGAAUGCUUUCUGACCACACGAAUGAGGCAAAGUGUUUCCCUGUGUUGUUCCCUGCGGGUGAUAAGACCUUCCAUGACGGACGGUCUCAUCACUUGACGUUGUCGCGUUAUCUUAAUAACCGGAUUAUGCAUGCUGACGGUCGUUUUGCGCGGAACGUCGAGUACAUAUUUUUUGCGCAGUACAUGUCAGAGUUGGACAGGGUUGUGUCCAGUGUUUCUAUCGCUUUGCGUAAGGGCAAAGGAGGUCAGAGGCCUCAACGCAUUACUGAGGACAUGUUAACGGAUGCGGACGCCUUGAAGCAGUUGUUGGCGUGUGAUGACGGGUUUAGGUUUCUUAAACCCAUUAGAGGAACUCCGGCCUUUUGGCAGUCUGUCCAGAAGGACGUGAUGGCUUGCGUGCGUCAAUUGGGUAUUCCGACGUGGUUUUGUUCGUUUUCGUCUGCGGAUAUGCGCUGGCAGAAUCUCCUGACCAGCAUCCUGAAACAGGAAGGCAGAUCGCAGACGGUAGAGGAUUUGGAGUGGGCUGACAGGUGCGAGUUGCUGCGUCGUAAUCCGGUCACCGCGGCGAGGAUGUUUGACUAC